GUUAUAGCUGCCUUGAAAAAAGACACACAAAAUGCAUGUUUUCAUUAGGUAGUAUUGCUUUUAUUUGUGAACCGAUUGGAUCAAUUUUAUCUGCCUUUUUAUCGGGUGAGUUUUGAAAUUCCAUAGUUGAAUAGCAAAAGUGACUCAUAAGAGCCAAAAGCGGCACUUUUUGAGAAAAAUACGAUUUUUUCCGACUUUUUUCAAUUAACAGACCCAUUAGGUCGGAAGCGGUCUAUGAUUCUUGUGAAUAUUCCAAUCGCGAUCGCAUGGCUGUUGAUGUACAAUUCAAGCAGUGUGAUUGAAAUUUUUAUCGGAACGUGUUUAAUGACUUGGAGUUGAUUCGUUCUUUUCUUUCGAUUCAAUUUGAAUUCUCAGUUAUCGUUUCAAUCAUGAAUAUUUUUCAACAUUUGAAAACAUAUUGAUUUCUUUUACUAGGCCUAAUGGAAAGUCCGAUAAUAACAUAUGUUGGUGAGAUUUGGGUAGUAUUUAGCUCGAAUACCUUCAAACCCAAUUGAAAUCAAAACUAAUUCAAUUGAAUUUCGAAUUCAUUUUAUUAUGCAAAAGAAAUCAUUUUGUGAAAAAGUUAAUCUUCGACAAAUUGUGAUCCACUCAUUCCUACUUUGCCUUACUCACCACUCGUUACCAUUUUCAAUUGUUUUUUUGUUUGUAUUUGUGUUACAAACGGUUGCAUCGUUAUUUUUGGGCGUUACGCGGUUGUUUAAAUUGACAAAGAUUCUUACGUUUUAUUCAAACCAUGUCUCGAAUGAGAACUAACUUAAAACAUCAUACUUUGCAAGCCUUGGCGAUUAGUUGCAUUAGUUUGUAUGUACCAAUUUUAACCAUUAUUGCGCUAUGUUUCAUUCCCGAAAGUCCAGCCUGGCUCCAAAGAAUCGAACAGCUGACGCCGAAUCUUCGCUCGCCUGGCUCCGUGGCUGGGUCCAAAAAGAAACGGUGCAUCAAGAGCUACUUGAACUACAGCGUUAUAGUGAACAAUCAAAGUCGUGUAGUGCGUGCAUCAAAUUGGAUCAAAAAUGUACACAUCAUCCGACAUUUAUGGACAAAUUGAAGGAAUUAAAGCGUAAAAAAACCCUCAAGCCAUUCUUCAUUGUGAUGUCGUUGUUUUUCAUCGCGGAAUUCACCGGUAUAACUGAUCAAGCAGCAGCUAUGCAAGGCUUUGUGAACAACCUAGCGAAUAUUGCAUUUUUGUGUUUGAUUCGAUUCACCGGCAAGCGAAAAUUAUACAUGCCAAUGUUGAUCAUUGUAUUUUUAUGUUCGGCAACCGUCUCAAUAUAUGGCUUUGUAUUUUUCCCAAGCGGCUAUAAUUCGUUUCAUAAUGAAGAAGUCGUUUUACAAGCGGAUUCAAAUUUCCGAUACAUUCCAUUUUUUUGCAUUUUUUUCUGCAGUUACUGCGGCGUGAAUUCGCUUCCAUGGCAAAUGUUAUCCGAAGUUUAUCCUUUCAAAGCUCGAGAAGCAGCAGCCGGUUUGUCAGCAACGCUUGAUUAUUUGAUCACUUUUAUAAGCACAAAAACAUAUUAUGAUCUGGAAAUAUCAUUGUCAAUACAAGGAAUAUCGCUGCUUUAUUGCGUUAUUGCCGCAUUCGGAGUCGUAUUGAUGUACAAAAUUAUGCCAGAAACUGAAAAUCGAACGCUCGACGACAUUGAAUUUCAUUUUUGCGACAAUUCAAAAAAAUUAACCGAUCGAAAAAUUGCAAAAAUUGCAUGUUUACCUCGAAACUCGGAAAUUGGAGUGGAGAAUGGGCUCGAAAAUACACAAAACGGCUGUGAUAAUCGGAGUUUCGUUAAAGAUGCUUAAAUGCGCUUUAAAAUUGUAUUUUUAAAUGUAGACAAUUGUUCGUUUUUCGAAGUGUACAAAUAGAGUAUUUCGAGAGAAAAAAGCUUGAAUCAUUCGUCACAAAAACAUUGGUGUUUUAUUUUGAUGCGAUGACUGUUUAUGACCUUUUUUGCGACUCUGAAAACGGACAAAACAAAAUCAAAGAGAUCUUUUGCACUUCAACUGUCUCUCUCCCUCUCCAGAACUGAUAUGCCUCUUGUCCAGAACCUAUUGUGAUUGCAUUUGAAAAUACAUCCCAAUCGUAACCAGAACAACAUCUUCGACUAUCGUGAAUGAAAAGAAGAAAAAAAAACUUUGCACAAUGACGGAGUAGUGAGAGGAAAAAAAUCAACAUAC
Molecule: RNA transcript, 2187 nt
Organism: Contarinia nasturtii (swede midge)
Lineage: Eukaryota; Metazoa; Arthropoda; Insecta; Diptera; Cecidomyiidae
Gene name: facilitated trehalose transporter Tret1-like
Exons: 7
Source: RefSeq, a predicted model, not a curated record